GCCUGAUCCAGCAAUGCCGCGUGUGUGAAGAAGGCCUUCGGGUUGUAAAGCACUUUUGUCCGGAAAGAAAUCCUUGAUUCUAAUACAGUCGGGGGAUGACGGUACCGGAAGAAUAAGCACCGGCUAACUACGUGCCAGCAGCCGCGGUAAUACGUAGGGUGCAAGCGUUAAUCGGAAUUACUGGGCGUAAAGCGUGCGCAGGCGGUUUGCUAAGACCGAUGUGAAAUCCCCGGGCUCAACCUGGGAACUGCAUUGGUGACUGGCAAGCUAGAGUAUGGCAGAGGGGGGUAGAAUUCCACGUGUAGCAGUGAAAUGCGUAGAGAUGUGGAGGAAUACCGAUGGCGAAGGCAGCCCCCUGGGCCAAUACUGACGCUCAUGCACGAAAGCGUGGGGAGCAAACAGGAUUAGAUACCCUGGUAGUCCACGCCCUAAACGAUGUCAACUAGUUGUUGGGGAUUCAUUUCCUUAGUAACGUAGCUAACGCGUGAAGUUGACCGCCUGGGGAGUACGGUCGCAAGAUUAAAACUCAAAGGAAUUGACGGGGACCCGCACAAGCGGUGGAUGAUGUGGAUUAAUUCGAUGCAACGCGAAAAACCUUACCUACCCUUGACAUGGUCGGAAUCCCGCUGAGAGGUGGGAGUGCUCGAAAGAGAACCGRCGCACAGGUGCUGCAUGGCUGUCGUCAGCUCGUGUCGUGAGAUGUUGGGUUAAGUCCCGCAACGAGCGCAACCCUUGUCCUUAGUUGCUACGCAAGAGCACUCUAAGGAGACUGCCGGUGACAAACCGGAGGAAGGUGGGGAUGACGUCAAGUCCUCAUGGCCCUUAUGGGUAGGGCUUCACACGUCAUACAAUGGUCGGAACAGAGGGUUGCCAACCCGCGAGGGGGAGCUAAUCCCAGAAAACCGAUCGUAGUCCGGAUUGCACUCUGCAACUCGAGUGCAUGAAGCUGGAAUCGCUAGUAAUCGCGG
This 968-nucleotide ribosomal RNA is filed under the name Burkholderia contaminans. Its description in RNAcentral is "bacterial SSU rRNA". The record is from RNAcentral. Lineage: Bacteria; Pseudomonadati; Pseudomonadota; Betaproteobacteria; Burkholderiales; Burkholderiaceae.